GUGCCAGCCGCCGCGGUAAUACGGAAGGUCCGGGCGUUAUCCGGAUUUAUUGGGUUUAAAGGGAGCGCAGGCGGGAUAUUAAGCGUGACGUGAAAUGCAGGUGCUCAACAUCUGCCCUGCGUCGCGAACUGGUAUUCUUGAGUGAGUACGAUGUAGGCGGAAUUCGUGGUGUAGCGGUGAAAUGCUUAGAUAUCACGAAGAACCCCGAUUGCGAAGGCAGCCUACAAGUCCUUUACUGACGCUAAAGCUCGAAGGUGCGGGUAUCGAACAGGAUUAGAUACCUGGUAGUCCGCACGGUAAACGAUGGAUGCCCGCUGUUGGCGAUACAUUGUCAGCGGCCAAGGGAAACCGUUAAGCAUCCCACCUGGGGAGUACGCCGGCAACGGUGAAACUCAAAGGAAUUGACGGGGGCCCGCACAAGCGGAGGAACAUGUGGUUUAAUUCGAUGAUACGCGAGGAACCUUACCCGGGCUUGAACUGCCGGCGAACGAUCCAGAGAUGGUGAGGUCCUUCGGGACGCCGGUGGAGGUGCUGCAUGGUUGUCGUCAGCUCGUGCCGUGAGGUGUCGGCUUAAGUGCCAUAACGAGCGCAACCCCUUUCGUCAGUUGCCAUCAGGUGAUGUUGGGCACUCUGGCGACACUGCCACCGUAAGGUGCGAGGAAGGUGGGGAUGACGUCAAAUCAGCACGGCCCUUACGUCCGGGGCUACACACGUGUUACAAUGGGGUAUACAGAGAGUCGGCCGUUCGCAAGUGCGGUCCAAUCAUGAAAGUGCCCCUCAGUUCGGAUUGGGGUCUGCAACCCGACCCCAUGAAGCUGGAUUCGCUAGUAAUCGCGCAUCAGCCAUGGCGCGGUGAAUACGUUCCCGGGCCUUGUACACACCGCCCGU
RNAcentral lists this ribosomal RNA (888 nucleotides) under uncultured bacterium. RNAcentral's name for it is "bacterial SSU rRNA". It matches the Rfam family "Bacterial small subunit ribosomal RNA", at positions 505 to 1397 of the family's 1533-position model. The record is from RNAcentral.